Molecule: small RNA, 859 nt
Filed under: Pan troglodytes (chimpanzee)
Lineage: Eukaryota; Metazoa; Chordata; Mammalia; Primates; Hominidae
Description: retained intron
Source: RNAcentral
GGCUAUCUCAAUUUCAUGGGUAAUGAAUUUGGGCAUCCUGAAUGGUUAGACUUCCCAAGAAAAGGAAAUAAUGAGAGUUACCAUUAUGCCAGGCGGCAGUUUCAUUUAACUGACGAUGACCUUCUUCGCUACAAGUUCCUAAAUAAUUUUGACAGGGAUAUGAAUAGAUUGGAAGAAAGAUAUGGUUGGCUUGCAGCUCCACAGGCCUACGUGAGUGAAAAACAUGAAGGCAAUAAGGUCAUUGCUUUUGAAAGAGCAGGUCUUCUUUUCAUUUUCAACUUCCAUCCAAGCAAGAGCUACACUGACUACCGAGUUGGAACAGCAUUGCCAGGGAAAUAUCCUUUUUGUUACCAGUGAAUAUGACUGUCCACAUUCACUUCUUUAUUACAUUAUAGGACAAAAAAAAAAGACUAAGGUUGAUCUUGAUGACAGAAACAUUCAUUUUCCUCAUCUGAAAAAUGAGGAACUUAAAAUAGUUGAUGGAUAAAUCUUUGCUCGACUCAGUUAUACUGAAUUAUUCCUAAGCUUCAUUUUGGGUUUAAACAGAGGGGUUAGUGCAGACGUGGUUCACAUCAAAGGAAAGAGCUGUGGAUCUUGCUGUCCUGAAGGUUUCAAUAUGGAGCCCUGCUCUCCAGGUCCCCACAUCCACCAAUACAGAAGACAAUAAAUGAAGUCUUCUGAGAUAAUAGCAGAGGCUCUGGACUUAGGGGACCAGGCUUUAAAAAGUGUAACUGAAUAUUUCUUAAAUAAUAUUUCUUAAAUAAUGUUUAGAGCAGCAAUAUGGGAGACGAUUGUAGUUUUACUCUAUGAAAAUAUUUUGUAAGUUACCUCUGAGACUUGUUUCUUUUCCUCCACUCAG